This 261-nucleotide ribosomal RNA is filed under the name Triticum aestivum (bread wheat). RNAcentral's name for it is "partial small subunit ribosomal RNA". The record is from RNAcentral. Lineage: Eukaryota; Viridiplantae; Streptophyta; Magnoliopsida; Poales; Poaceae.
AUGGAGGGGCUGAUACCGCUGGUGUACAGAGCAGUGGCGGAGUACAGGAAGAGGAGGCAGCAGCAGCAGCUGCUCGCUCUGGGUCUGGGCAGCAGCUGCCUCCAGCGCUACAACGACCAGCCACCGUCGCGUGCGCUGCUGUUCUGCGACUCCGCCAUGUCGCCGGCAAGGGCACUCAUGUCGCCGCUACUCCGCUCACCGCCGUCGCGGCGCCACUGCGCUGCGCAGGUUAGAGUCGUGGUCAUGGCCAAGGAGAAUUAA